RNAcentral lists this small RNA (323 nucleotides) under Histoplasma capsulatum var. duboisii H88. RNAcentral's name for it is "Histoplasma capsulatum H88 hypothetical RNA". The record is from RNAcentral. Lineage: Eukaryota; Fungi; Ascomycota; Eurotiomycetes; Onygenales; Ajellomycetaceae.
CAACAAUCAUCAACGAAUGCAAUGCUACUAGAUGUGUCGUCCUACGGCAUUUUGGGAACCAAUAACAACGCGCAGAUGACACCGAUUGGAAUCGGACCACAAGAAUCUCCAAUCCCCAGCCACCAGCGUUGCUUAUUUAGUCCCGCUCCGCUCGGUACAUUUAGAAUCGCUGGUACCCAUCAGAACACCAAUGGGAGGUUAGCUGAAACCAAAAAUAUGGAGGAUAGUCAUACAGACACAUAUCUCGACACAUAUCUCGACCCGUCAGUUCUUAUAACCCAGGGCAAUAAUGGUGGUGUACAGAACUGGUUGGAUGACGGCCC